Molecule: ribosomal RNA, 292 nt
Filed under: uncultured bacterium
Lineage: Bacteria
Description: partial 16S ribosomal RNA
Rfam family: Bacterial small subunit ribosomal RNA
Source: RNAcentral
GUGGAUUAGAUACCCGGGUAGUCCACGCCGUAAACGGUGGGUACUGGGUGUGGGAGGUGUAAUGCCUUCUGUGCCGAAGUUAACGCGUUAAGUACCCCGCCUGGGGAGUACGGCCGCAAGGUUGAAACUCAAAGGAAUUGACGGGGGCCCGCACAAGCGGUGGAGCAUGUGGUUUAAUUCGACGCAACGCGAAAAACCUUACCUGGGCUUGACAUGCCGAGAACCCGGUGGAAACAUUGGGGUGUCCCGUAAGGGAAACUCGGACACAGGUGCUGCACGGCCGUCGUCAGCU